Phrynosoma platyrhinos (Desert horned lizard) is the source of this 72-nucleotide non-coding RNA. The record is from the annotation of a GenBank genome assembly. Lineage: Eukaryota; Metazoa; Chordata; Lepidosauria; Squamata; Phrynosomatidae.
CCCCAUGUGGUGUAGUGGUUUGAGUGUUUGACUAUGACUCUGGAGACCAGGCUUCAAUUCCCUGCUUAGCCA